GACAACAGUGAUGAUCCUACAGACCUGUAAUGAUUCUGCGGAUAUGAUCGCAGAUAUAAUGCUGAAUAACAUCUAAGGGACUGAGUAUUU
Molecule: non-coding RNA, 90 nt
Organism: Musa acuminata subsp. malaccensis (wild Malaysian banana)
Lineage: Eukaryota; Viridiplantae; Streptophyta; Magnoliopsida; Zingiberales; Musaceae
Source: Rfam